This 629-nucleotide ribosomal RNA is filed under the name Coriollianassa sp. MOZ-33. RNAcentral describes it as "SSU rRNA". It matches the Rfam family "Eukaryotic small subunit ribosomal RNA", at positions 21 to 638 of the family's 1831-position model. The record is from RNAcentral. Lineage: Eukaryota; Metazoa; Arthropoda; Malacostraca; Decapoda; Callianassidae.
AGUCAUAUGCUUGUCUCAAAGAUUAAGCCAUGCAUGUGUAAGUACAUACCUAAACAAGGUGAAACCGCGAAUGGCUCAUUAAAUCAGCUGUGGUUCAUUGGAUCUUAAACCCACUUACUUGGAUAACUGUGGUAAUUCUAGAGCUAAUACAUGCGUCCAGUCUCUGACCGCAAGGGAAGAGCGCUCUUAUUAGUCCAAAACCGGUCGGGCCUCGGUCCGUAACCCUUCGGUGGUGAAUCUGAAUAAUUUUGACCUGAGCGCACGGCCUCCGCGCCGGCGCCGUAUCUUUCAAGUGUCUGCCUUAUCAGCUCUCGACUGUAGGUUAUGUGCCUACAUUGGCGAUAACGGGUAACGGGGAAUCAGGGUUCGAUUCCGGAGAGGGAGCCUGAGAAACGGCUACCACAUCUAAGGAAGGCAGCAGGCACGCAAAUUACCCACUCCCGGCACGGGGAGGUAGUGACGAAAAAUAACGGUGCGAGACUCAUCCGAGGCCUCGCAAUCGGAAUGAGUACACUUUAAAUCCUUUAACGAGGAUCGAUUGGAGGGCAAGUCUGGUGCCAGCAGCCGCGGUAAUUCCAGCUCCAAUAGCGUAUAUUAAAGUUGUUGCAGUUAAAAAGCUCGUAGUUGGA